AUUGAACGCUGGCGGCAUGCCUUACACAUGCAAGUCGAACGGCAGCACGGGUGCUUGCCCCUGGUGGCGAGUGGCGAACGGGUGAGUAAUACAUCGGAACAUGUCCUGUAGUGGGGGAUAGCCCGGCGAAAGCCGGAUUAAUACCGCAUACGAUCUACGGAUGACAGCGGGGGACCUUCGGGCCUCGCGCUAUAGGGUUGGCCGAUGGCUGAUUAGCUAGUUGGUGGGGUAAAGGCCUACCAAGGCGACGAUCAGUAGCGGGUCUGAGAGGACGACCAGCCGCACUGGGACUGAGACACGGCCCAGGCUUCUGCGGGAGGCAGCAGUGGGGAAUUUUGGACAAUGGGCGAAAGCCUGGUCCAGCAAUGCCGCGUGUGUUGAAGAGGCCUUCGGGGUGUAAAGCACUUUUGUCCGGAAAGAAAUCCUUGGCCCUAAUACGGUCGGGGGAUGACGGUACCGGAAGAAUAAGCACCGGCUAACUACGUG
RNAcentral lists this ribosomal RNA (486 nucleotides) under uncultured bacterium. RNAcentral's name for it is "partial 16S ribosomal RNA". It matches the Rfam family "Bacterial small subunit ribosomal RNA", at positions 28 to 507 of the family's 1533-position model. The record is from RNAcentral.